GGAACUUAUCUUUAACUGUAUGAGCAUUCAAUUCCCAGUAAUCCACACAAAGUCGCCAUGAACCGUCUGCUUUGGGAACAAGGAUUACAGGUGAUGAAAAAGGGGAUUGGCUAGGUCGAAUAAUUCCCUUCUUCAACAUCUCAGCACACUGUCUCUCGAUCUCAUCUUUCUGGCCAUGAGGGUACCUGUACGGCCGUACCACAACUGGUCUGGUGCCCGGUUCCAAAGGAAUUCGGUGAUCACAGAAGCGGCUUGGGGGAAGAGCUUUAGGUUCUUUGAAGAUGCCGGAGAAUUCGGUGAGAAGGUGUUGUAAUUGGGUUUCGACAUCCGGGAAGGAAGAGACUGAAUUUAGGCUUACGGGUUGUUUAAUGGCAAGAUUUUGGAUUCCCUGUAAUUCGAUAUUGGUGCCUGAAAUAGAGAAAGCCAUUCGCAUAAUAAAAAAAUACCAAAGAAUGGGUCCCAGAGUUUUUAACUAGCUGACUCCCAGUACCACAUCAAUACCGCUUAGAGGAAGGACAAAAAGGUCUAUUCCAAAAGGGUGGCCCCCCAUCUGUAACUCUGAAUUGCGACAAACACCAGAACUGAAUAUCUGUUCGCCGUUUGCAACUCGAACCCGAAGUCCGUCUUUCUUUUCAAUCUUCGGAUCCACCUGUUUAACAAUAUUGGCAGCCACGAAAUUGUGAGUACUACCAGAAUCUAUGAGAACGAGAACAGAUUUACCAUUCCAUUCAGCCAUCACACGCAUAGUUUGAGCAUUGUGGGUUCCUGUAAUCGCAUUCAAAGAGAUUUCUGGUGAUUCUUCGCCGGUGUCCAUGUCACUUUCACCAUCAUCAAGUUCAAUCCAAAAUAAUCUUUUGCAUUGAUGACCCCGAGAGAAGGGUUCAUCACAGUUAAAGCAAAGAUUUUUCUUUCGCCGUUCCUCCAUCUCUGCUGGACUCAACCGCCGAAUACUUCUGUUGCCCUUGGAUUCUAUAGGAGCCGUCACCGAACGAUUAGAAAACCGCGAUGGUAAUGGGGUUCUUUUCUCAUAUAACCGAGACAUGCUCAUAGCAGUCGCU
This 1058-nucleotide long non-coding RNA is filed under the name Manihot esculenta (cassava). RNAcentral's name for it is "long non-coding RNA (MESC_LNC006740)". Lineage: Eukaryota; Viridiplantae; Streptophyta; Magnoliopsida; Malpighiales; Euphorbiaceae. The record is from RNAcentral.